This 391-nucleotide unclassified non-coding RNA is filed under the name soil metagenome. RNAcentral's name for it is "partial contains 5.8S ribosomal RNA, internal transcribed spacer 2, and large subunit ribosomal RNA". The stretch from base 1 to 122 matches the Rfam family "5.8S ribosomal RNA", at positions 35 to 154 of the family's 154-position model. The record is from RNAcentral.
GAUGAAGAACGCAGCGAAAUGCGAUACUUGGUGUGAAUUGCAGAAUCCCGUGAACCAUCGAGUGUUUGAACGCAAGUUGCGCCCGAAGCCAUUAGGCCGAGGGCACGCCUGCCUGGGCGUCACACGUCGUUGCCCCCCCAUCUACUCCUUCGGGAUUGCGGGGGGCGGAUGAUGGCCUCCCGUGCGCCUCGUCGCGCGGUUGGCAUAAAUGCCAAGUCCUCGGCGACACACGCCACGACAAUCGGUGGUUGCGAAACCUCGGUUGCCCGUCGUGUGCGGUCGUCGCGCAUCGAGGGCUCGAAAAAAUUGCCGGGCUCCGGCUCGGCUUUCAACGCGACCCCAGGUCAGGCGGGGUUACCCGCUGAAUUUAAGCAUAUCAAUAAGCGGAGGA